This 299-nucleotide ribosomal RNA is filed under the name uncultured Lactobacillus sp. RNAcentral describes it as "partial 16S ribosomal RNA". It matches the Rfam family "Bacterial small subunit ribosomal RNA", at positions 232 to 524 of the family's 1533-position model. Lineage: Bacteria; Bacillati; Bacillota; Bacilli; Lactobacillales; Lactobacillaceae. The record is from RNAcentral.
CGACGUGCAUUAGCUAGUUGGUAGGUAACGGCUACCAAGGCGAUGAUGCAUAGCCCGAGUCGAGAGACUGAUCGGCCACAUUGGGACUGAGACACGGCCCAAACUCCUACGGGAGGCAGCAGUAGGGAAUCUUCCACAAUGGACGAAAGUCUGAUGGAGCAACGCCGCGUGAGUGAAGAAGGUUUUCGGAUCGUAAAGCUCUGUUGUUGGUGAAGAAGGAUAGAGGUAGUAACUGGCCUUUAUUUGACGGUAAUCAACCAGAAAGUCACGGCUAACUACGUGCCAGCAGCCGCGGUAAU